This 253-nucleotide ribosomal RNA is filed under the name uncultured bacterium. Its description in RNAcentral is "partial 16S ribosomal RNA". It matches the Rfam family "Bacterial small subunit ribosomal RNA", at positions 524 to 776 of the family's 1533-position model. The record is from RNAcentral.
UACGGGGGGGGCAAGCGUUGUUCGGAAUUACUGGGCGUAAAGGGCUCGUAGGUGGCCAACUAAGUCGGACGUGAAAUCCCUCGGCUUAACCGGGGAACUGCGUCCGAUACUGGUUGGCUUGAGUUUGGGAGAGGGAUGCGGAAUUCCAGGUGUAGCGGUGAAAUGCGUAGAUAUCGGGAGGAACACCAGUGGCGAAGGCGGCUGCCUGGCCCAAUACUGACACUCAGGUGCGACAGCGUGGGGAGCAAACAGG